AUUGCAUAAUGAAUUAGAAGUAGAUUACCAGAGUCAUCCCAUGAGCAAGCUUGAUUAGAGCUUGAUCAUGGCGAAGUACAACCGAAGGAAGUACCGACAGGCCGGCCUCUCCUCUAAUCCUCCUUCGCUCUCCAUCUCGCUACUAUCUAGAUCUACUCUAGUUUAGAGAAGAGAGGAGAGCUCUCAUCUCUAAACCCUAGCUUUUGCUCUGUCUAUGAAUAAUGAAUAAUGAUCAAGGGGUGCCCCCUCCAGGGGCCAAGGGGUCUGGUUUUAUAGUCCCCUCAAGUGAACCUGGGCCGUCGGAUCAAACCGACAUUGAUUGAACGGUUAUUCUUGAUCCUUUAGGUCGGUGGAGCAUAAUCCGCGAGAUUGAGCGUGAUUGGCCGAAAAAGGUGGGCGGGCGCCCUAAGGACUUGGGCGGGCGCCCUGUCCCUGACUCCGUUCGGUCUCCGCUUCCUUCCCGUGGCUUCUGGAGUCUUCUAGAUGUAAGAUAAUUGCGCGGCACGUUGAUAUCUCUAUGUAAUCCCGACGUGUGGGCCCUUCUUCCUUAUUUCCUGAUAACCCCCUGUAGAAAUAGACAAACACCAAAACUCGUGGAAUACUGUUAGAUAAAACCCUAAGUCUCGAUGUUGAUUUCAUUUGGAUCCUUUUCUUUGUUUAUUUGAUAGUUAAAUUUGAUACUUAAGGACCGUCAACAAACUCCCCCAAGCUUACCUCUUGCUCGUCCCUGAGGAUAAACUCAGCUAUGGAUCAUAAGUUGUUGCAAUAUCUUUAAAAAUUGACGGUACACAUGCUUUUAAAUGAGGUCUCAUCUCUGAGUUAGAGUAAACUGUCAAGACUUAAAACUUACUUACUUUACCUUUCACCAUGGGACUUGUAACCGUCACUUCUGUCUUGAGUGGUUAAAAGAUAGAACAGUCCAGUCAAGUGCCAUGUCGCUUAUUCUUGAUCAGCUAUAGCUCUGGAGUUUUUUGCAGAUUUUCAAAUAAAACUCAGAGAUUCCUUUGUAUGACUCUCUCAUAUCUCUCUUUUGUGGUAUUUCUGGAUCUUUACCAAGGCAGUGAUGGUAUAUGCCUUCUCUCAAAAUAUGUGGUAUUUGUGGUAUAAGGGAUAGUGACAUUGUCUUCUCUCUCACCCUACUCUAAUAAGGCUUUAAUAUCUGGAGCUCAUAGGUGGGAGAUAAAAUAUACAUACUUACAAGACAUUUAUUGUAUAGUCAAACCAUGGAUCCAAAGAAACAAAUCAAUAAGCCAAAUCAAGAUGUGCAUGUGUGGCGAAUGAAUUGUGUAUAGUGAUGAUGGUGAUAACAAUGGUGAAAGUCUAAUUAUACUUUUGCUCUUAUGAGGGGAUACAUACCUUCCUUGCUUUUUUGAAACUUUAUGAGGAGAAUGAGAUGGUCUUAUUUUUCUUUUCUCUCAGAUGGGUAUCCUGUACCCCUCAUUCUACUGUCGGACACUUGUCCAUUUUUACCUCUCGUCUCACUCUUUUUCUUUUCUUUCGAGGUUCUGGGCACUUGCCCCUUUUUAUUUCCUCGUUUAUUUAUCUUUUUUUUCUUUUUUUUCAGAGCACUCAUCUCUUGAGAUAAUAUAGCAAGUGGUAGUAGCAAGAUAACUUGAGCAUUUAUUUCACAAGGAAAAAACACAAAUAUUUUUGGCUAUUCUCUCCUGGAUUAGGAGUAGAAUAUUUUUGGGUGGUUCUGGAGAUGGACAUGGAUGGAUAUAUGUGGAUGGUACUUCCAGAGUAGAAGUAGCAUAUAUGAGUGAAUGUGCAAGUGAAUCUUGAUUUAACCACAUGACAAGCUCCUAAGGGUCUACACAGCUUGACCACACUCAAUGCUCAUAAGCAGUAAAUAAUAAAUGUGUGGCUCAAAGUCUAGCAAGCAUGUAUAUAUGGCUGUGGUAGGAAUUUAAACUUUCAUCAUACAGGAACUCAUCAUGCAACAUUUUAAAGAUUUUUCAAAGAUAAAAUUCUCCAGAAUUCUAGCAUCUCUAGGAAUAGAUAAACAGCAGCUCAACCUUCCCAUAUCAUAUCCGUUAACAACUUAGAUUUCAGAUCAAGUUUUCAUCCCACAAGUUUAGAUCUAGAGCAAGCUUUAAAUUAUAACAGUUAUGUCUAAACUUGAGAGAGAACUUUAAAUUUGCAAAUUAGGCAGAGCAACUAUUCAUCAUAUCCAUGCUAGAGUUUUAUUAUUAAGAUUCAGAUUAGCAUAGCCACUUUAUUUAUUUAUUAAACACACUAAGCAAAAGAUAUAUAUAUAAGCACAAAAUCUUUAUUUGGUUUUUCAUAGUUUAUGUAUUUUAAUAUUCUAAUAUAAUAUAAGUAUAAAGAUAGGUAGAAAUACUUAGCGAGAUAAAUAGGGGUGCUCUCCCCCAAGCUGAAUUUUGACGUAAUUUCUCUUGAUGUAGCUAGCAGGUGGCAAAGGUGUAUUUGAAAGUCAGCAGCAUUCUGACAGCGAUUAGAAUGUCCUCCGUCUGCUAGUCUUCUUGAUUCUUAAAUUCUGUGGAGCUCAAAUAGACAACAAAGCUUGUGGAACUAAUUAAGUGUUAGCAUAAAUAUCUAGCCUUCAUCACGUUGAGCUUCCUCAAUAAAUAUUACUCCCUGUUUUUAUAUUUUUAUUUUAUAAAGUAGAAAAGAAAUAUUUAUUUUAUUUUUAUGCCACCACAGUGAAGGUACUUAUGGGUUUUAUGCCACUCGUAUACUCACAUGGGGCUUAGUAUUUUUUUUAACAUUUUUAUUUUCUUUUCAAGAUAGCAUGAUUAACUAAUAAUCUAUUUAAGGAAAGUAAAUAAUUAAAUGGAAAAGGGAAUGCAGAAAGGAUAAAUAUGGAUAACUACCAAUCUUACCUUUCGGCGAGAGUUCAGUGUUUUAAGUCUUCUUGUCAAGACUUCUCAUCGUGUUCAUUCUUCAGGUGCGUCAUUUGAUUCAGGUGCGGACCUUGAUGUCUGCACCUUUUAAUACGGUGUCACCCAUGUUCUUCGUUUGCCCAGCAGUUCGAAGUACGGUGUUAGCAGUAUCUUGCUCAGUGUGUUUGUGCUCGUAGUCUACCUACUCAUAGAGACAAGGCAGAGAUCAAGUGCAUGGGCCCUGUUGGUGGAAAACACCAACAAAACCAAAAGUGUAUUUGUUCUUCUCUAACCUUAAGCAUAGUGAGCAAGACAAGUUGAUGGAUGAUAAGUUCAUGAGUGUAGCACUUAUAACAUUUGUUAGAUCAGAUCGCUCAACCUUAUGGAAAGAUAAUCUAUCUAUGUAUAUGUCUUUUUCUUUAUAUCUCUCAAUGAUUGAAUGUGUAACAUUUUAGCUCAUAUGAUUAGGAGUGUGGGAUCAUGGAGGUAGUACUAAGAACAAGGAUUAAAGGACUAAACAUGAUGAAUCAGUUGGGUUGGUUAAUCUAGAGUUGUAAAUCAUACACGUUUGUCUCUUUUAUUUAUAUGAACGCCAGAACCAAGGAGAAGCUUCUAAAAGUGAUAGUCAAGUACCUUAAGAUGUUACCUUGCUCGAAGAGUGAUGGUACAGUAUCAUCUUGUGGAAGCUUUCCUUUCUUAGCGGUUGUGCGUCGUGUUUGUGGCACCCUCCAUGGAUCAUCUCUCUAUGAUGAAUGAGCUAUGUCCUUCUUGUGCAAAUUGUUAAACUUCAUGUGUCACUCUCUUCGUCUCUGAUGUGAGUUUAUCUCAGGACUUCCCAAAUCGAUAUUGAAAGUUUUUCUGCAUGGGUUAGUCCGACAAAAUAUACCAAUAUCUACUCAAGCAGUUUUUUUAGUUCAAUAACCAAACUAGACUCCAUGUCUAAUCAGAUUAAGGAAGGCUAUUUAACCUAAGCACCAUGCUUAAUUUAAAUGCCAAUGGAAGUAUGGCGAGUACUUCCAAACCAACACUUGCUAGUAAAUAGACAAAGGUAGCAUGACAGCGUCUAUAGAGAUCUACUCAAGUGGAGAUGAAGUAGUGUGAUUAGUAUUUAACAAAUUGAGCAUGUCUCAAAGGUAGGGACAACC
RNAcentral lists this long non-coding RNA (3988 nucleotides) under Sorghum bicolor (sorghum). RNAcentral describes it as "long non-coding RNA (SBIC_LNC014572)". The record is from RNAcentral. Lineage: Eukaryota; Viridiplantae; Streptophyta; Magnoliopsida; Poales; Poaceae.